UGGGGAAUUUUGGACAAUGGGGGCAACCCGGAUCCAGCCAUUCCGCGUGAGUGAAGAAGGCCUUCGGGCUGUAAAGCUCUUUCAGCAGGAACGAAACGGUCGGCUUUAAUAAAGUCGGCUAAUGACGGUACCUGCAGAAGAAGCACCGGCUAACUACGUGCCAGCAGCCGCGGUAAUACGUAGGGUGCGAGCGUUAAUCGGAAUUACUGGGCGUAAAGCGUGCGCAGGCGGCGACAUAAGACAGAUGUGAAAUCCCCGGGCUCAACCUGGGAACUGCGUUUGUGACUGUGUUGCUAGAGUGUAGCAGAGGGGGGUGGAAUUCCACGUGUAGCAGUGAAAUGCGUAGAGAUGUGGAGGAACACCGAUGGCGAAGGCAGCCCCCUGGGUUAACACUGACGCUCAUGCACGAAAGCGUGGGGAGCAAACAGGAUUAGAUACCCUGGUAGUCCCUGAGCGGGCUGGCAAGGCGCAU
This 472-nucleotide ribosomal RNA is filed under the name uncultured bacterium. Its description in RNAcentral is "bacterial SSU rRNA". It matches the Rfam family "Bacterial small subunit ribosomal RNA", at positions 355 to 825 of the family's 1533-position model. The record is from RNAcentral.